RNAcentral lists this ribosomal RNA (292 nucleotides) under uncultured bacterium. RNAcentral's name for it is "partial 16S ribosomal RNA". It matches the Rfam family "Bacterial small subunit ribosomal RNA", at positions 505 to 796 of the family's 1533-position model. The record is from RNAcentral.
GUGCCAGCAGCCGCGGUAAUACGUAGGGGGCAAGCGUUGUCCGGAUUUAUUGGGCGUAAAGCGCCCGCAGGCGGUCGCGUCAGUUUGGGGUGACAGCUCCUGGCUUAACCGGGAGAGGACCUCGAAGACGGCGUGACUUGAGGGCCAGAGAGGGACAUGGAACUCCGGGUGGAGUGGUGAAAUGCGUAGAGAUCCGGAAGAACACCAAAGGCGAAGGCAGUGUCCUGGCUGGCACCUGACGCUCAGGGGCGAAAGCGAGGGGAGCGAACGGGAUUAGAUACCCCGGUAGUCC